GACCCUGUUCUAAGUCGUACGAGCAUGCAUGGAUUCUCCGCUAUGACUGAAGUUCGAAAGUCAAAAGGUCCGCCUUGARUGGAGGAGUCUAUCGAUCGUACACUCUGUUGUUUAGCGACGACCAUGCCCUAACUUGAAUUUAUGCUGGCCACCGUGGGCGGAAAGCCUAAUCUAGAAAGGCUUUGCAAAGUAGUCGACGAGCAGGCUGGGGUAAUACGUGUGGUGUCARRACGUUAAUCCAGGAAUUUUUCCGGGGCGUAGAGCGGCGCCGCAGGUCGAUUUCCUUAAGUUUUGUCGGCAAAGCCCCCGGACUCCACCCAGGGAGGAGUCAUUAGGAAACUGGGAUUCUUCAGUAAAGAAGAGGAAACGCUGAAAUCCCWUGGGAAGCGGUGAAAUGGGCAUAGAUAAGCAGGAACUCUAGUCGUGAAUGCGACCCUCGGGUCCGUAACUGACAGUGAGGCGCGAAGGCGAARGGAGCAAUCASGAUUAGAGAUCCUGSUGGUCCACGCGCUAAUCGACGAGUCACAAGUAUUUGAGGGUUUCUGCCCUUCAGUCAAGAAGUUCACUCAYCAAGCACUCUGCAUGGGGAGUCCGGCCGCAAGGCCGUCACUCAUAAGAAUCGACGUGCGCGCGCACAAGCGGCAGAGCAUGUGGUUUAAUCUGAAGCAACGCGAAGAACCUUAGCAGGUCGCGACUUCCUCUGAAAACCCUAGAGAUAGGGCUUCUCCAUGGGGACCAGAGUGACAGGUGGCGCAUGGUCGUCGUCAGCUCGUGUCUUGAGAUGUUGGAAUAAGUCCCGCAACGAGCGCAACCCUUGAUGUCAGUUGCCAUCAUUAAGUGAGGCACUCCUAAGGUGACCCCGGUGACAAACCGGAGGAAGGUGGGGAUGACGUCAAAUCAUCAUGCCCUUUAUGACCUGGGCUACACACGUGCUACAAUGGACGGUACAAAGAGCUGCAAGACCGCGAGGUGGAGCUAAUCUCAUAAAACCGUUCUCAGUUCGGAUUGUAGGCUGCAACUCGCGCACAUGAAGCUGGAAUCGCUAGUAAUCGCGGAUCAGCAUGACGCGGUGAAUACGUUCCCGGGCCUAGUACACACCGCCUGUCACAUCACGAGAGUUUGUAACACCAGAAGUCGGUGGGGUAACCCGCUGGAGCUCAGCCGCCUAAGUGACCCAUGCCU
This 1182-nucleotide ribosomal RNA is filed under the name Bacillus sp. (in: firmicutes). Its description in RNAcentral is "bacterial SSU rRNA". The record is from RNAcentral. Lineage: Bacteria; Bacillati; Bacillota; Bacilli; Caryophanales; Bacillaceae.